This 1136-nucleotide long non-coding RNA is filed under the name Lathyrus oleraceus (garden pea). RNAcentral's name for it is "Pisum sativum (pea) long non-coding RNA (PSAT_LNC037409)". The record is from RNAcentral. Lineage: Eukaryota; Viridiplantae; Streptophyta; Magnoliopsida; Fabales; Fabaceae.
UGGAUGUAGGCUACUACCAGGUUCGUUCGUUUGUACCUGCAACAUGGCAGUCACAGCAGGGUCAGAUAUAACUUCUAUAAAGCCAAUUCUAUUGGAACAUACCUUGUUCUGACAUGCACCAAAUUAACUCAACACCAAUCUCUUAACAGAACAUUGCAUUAGAAUCACAUUUCAUUACACAGGCAUUUUGAAUCGCAUUUGGCAGCUUGUUUUUAGCAAUAGGAAGAAACCCAUUAAAUGACCUGUCAUUUCAGCUUUCUUAGGCAAAUUCAUGGAGAGAAAGACCAAAUUACCAAGAACUCGUGGAGAUAAAAGCCAAACAUGUAUUCCAUAACAUACCGACACAGUGCAUCCUGCACUCUUUCGUUUCAUGUCGGCAAUAGAAGUAGCAUCCAACAGGGGCAUUCACCUGCAGAAUUUGAAGAAAAACAUGUAGCACACCAAUGACCAAAAUAAAAUGACAAGCAUGUGAUCUCAAAUAGCAAUACAUCGGUAAGAGUUCUGCAGAAAGACUAAGGUAAAUUAACAGUUCACUCAUUUCAAUAAUAAAUCCACCAAUUUCCAUUCUUAACAAACUCCAACUAACUCACUAACUGAUUUAAAAUUAUUGAAACUAACUCUAACUGUUCUGAAAUCAACAUGUAACUGAAAAAAUCAUUUCGAGCUAACUGAUUAACUGACUCCAUUAACCUAUAGCUAACAACUCUAACAAACAGUUAAACCUUUUUAACAGAAAAUUGGAGGGAGGUACAAGUUCUUACACACUAUAAAAGCUAACCUCAUGGUGAUUCUUCAGGGUUCUUCCAACCCUUUCUUCAUCCUCUUCAUUUCUUCAUUUCUUCAUUUCUCACUCUCCCAAUUGCUUUCACCUUUUUCAAAGUUCUGCAACCUGUAGCCGCAAAUCAAUUCAAACCUGCAAAUUCGACUCUGCAAAUUCUGCAACAGAGUCACAUUAGGUCGGCUCAUCCCUUACCUGCAGAAUCCUCAAAACUCAACCUUCAGUUCAACGGGAUUCUUUCACUAUCCUCGUGCAGAAUCCAUCUUCAAUCAACAAUACGCUUUCGCCUUCGAUUCCCUUCCUCACAUUUUCGUUUUCUUCUCAAAUCCCUUUCUAUGAACGGAAUUUAAGACAAAGC